CCCUUAGAUGUUCUGGGCCGCACGCGCGCUACACUGAUUCAUGCAACAAGUUUGGUCCUUGGCUGAUAGGCCUGGGUAAUCUUUGAACGUGAAUCGUGAUGGGGAUAGAUGAUUGCAAUUAUUCAUCUUCAACGAGGAAUUCCUAGUAAACGCAAGUCAUCAGCUUGCAUUGAUUACGUCCCUGCCCUUUGUACACACCGCCCGUCGCACCUACCGAUUGAAUGGUCCGGUGAAAUCUUCGGAUCUGAGAGAUGUCUGAUUAAUUUCGGACGCCUUUUGGAAAAGUUGCUUAAACCUUACCAUUUAGAGGAAGGUGAANUCGUANCA
This 327-nucleotide ribosomal RNA is filed under the name uncultured eukaryote. RNAcentral's name for it is "partial 18S ribosomal RNA". It matches the Rfam family "Eukaryotic small subunit ribosomal RNA", at positions 1470 to 1796 of the family's 1831-position model. The record is from RNAcentral.